This 397-nucleotide ribosomal RNA is filed under the name uncultured bacterium. Its description in RNAcentral is "partial 16S ribosomal RNA". It matches the Rfam family "Bacterial small subunit ribosomal RNA", at positions 523 to 918 of the family's 1533-position model. The record is from RNAcentral.
AUACGUAGGGGGCGAGCGUUGUCCGGAAUGACUGGGCGUAAAGGGCGUGUAGGCGGCUGUCUAAGUCUGGAGUGAAAGUCCUGCUUUCAAGGUGGGAAUUGCUUUGGAGACUGGAUGGCUUGAGUGCGGAAGAGGUAAGUGGAAUUCCCAGUGUAGCGGUGAAAUGCGUAGAGAUUGGGAGGAACACCAGUGGCGAAGGCGACUUACUGGACUGUAACUGACGCUGAGGCGCGAAAGUGUGGGGAGCAAACAGGAUUAGAUACCCUGGUAGUCCACACUGUAAACGAUGAAUGCUAGGUGUAGGGGGUAUCGACCCCUUCUGUGCCGCAGUCAACACAAUAAGCAUUCCGCCUAGGGAGUACGGCCGCAAGGUUGAAACUCAAAUGAAUUGACGGGG